CCGGGAACUCAAAGGAGACUGCCAGUGAUAAACUGGAGGAAGGUGGGGAUGACGUCAAGUCAUCAUGGCCCUUACGACCAGGGCUACACACGUGCUACAAUGGCGCAUACAAAGAGAAGCGACCUCGCGAGAGCAAGCGGACCUCAUAAAGUGCGUCGUAGUCCGGAUUGGAGUCUGCAACUCGACUCCAUGAAGUCGGAAUCGCUAGUAAUCGUGGAUCAGAAUGCCACGGUGAAUACGUUCCCGGGCCUUGUACACACCGCCCGUCACACCAUGGGAGUGGGUUGCAAAAGAAGUAGGUAGCUUAACCUUCGGGAGGGCGCUUACCACUUUGUGAUUCAUGACUGGGGUGAAGUCGUAACAAGGUAACCGUAGGGGAACCUGCGGUUGGAUCACCUCCUUACCUUAAAGAA
Molecule: ribosomal RNA, 413 nt
Filed under: Salmonella enterica subsp. enterica serovar Montevideo str. MD_MDA09249507
Lineage: Bacteria; Pseudomonadati; Pseudomonadota; Gammaproteobacteria; Enterobacterales; Enterobacteriaceae
Description: bacterial SSU rRNA
Rfam family: Bacterial small subunit ribosomal RNA
Source: RNAcentral